RNAcentral lists this long non-coding RNA (412 nucleotides) under Aquilegia coerulea. RNAcentral's name for it is "long non-coding RNA (ACOE_LNC001043)". The record is from RNAcentral. Lineage: Eukaryota; Viridiplantae; Streptophyta; Magnoliopsida; Ranunculales; Ranunculaceae.
AGUGUAUCUUUAUAACUUAUAUAAGUUAAUAAACUUACGGUUGGGCUUAAGUUACGUUUGGGCUUAAGUUACACAGUGGGCUUAAGUUACGCUUUGAAUAUAUAUCACCAUAAAACCAUAAAAUCAAAAAAAAUCAAAAAACUAAACAAAACAAGAGCUUCCCGGUUUAUGUAAAACUGUGCGGGGUAAAAGUUAGGGCAGGGGCGAAGAGUUUUGAACCACCACCACUGCCGUAAUCUCUCUCUCGAUCUCCUUCUCUCUUCGGCGACCAGGUAUCUCUCUCUCUCUCUCUCUCUCUCUCUCUUUCUCUCUCUCUUCCUCUUUGAUAUCAACUGUUAUUUUUUUUUUUUUAAAUUCAAAACUUUGUGUGAUGAACAAUGAUGUUUUAGGAUUUGAAAACUCUCCAAAGCUG